RNAcentral lists this ribosomal RNA (1534 nucleotides) under uncultured prokaryote. Its description in RNAcentral is "partial 16S ribosomal RNA". It matches the Rfam family "Bacterial small subunit ribosomal RNA". The record is from RNAcentral.
AGGGGUUUGAUCAUGGCUCAGAAUGAACGCUGGCGGCGUGCCUAACACAUGCAAGUCGAACGAGAAAGGGGCCUUCGGGUCCUGAGUAAAGUGGCGAACGGGUGAGUAACGCGUGGGUAACCUGUCCUCGAGUGAGGAAUAACUUGGCGAAAGCCGAGCUAAUACCGCAUGACAUCCCAGGGUCUUAGGGUCUUGGGAUCAAAGGUAGCGAGCUUCGAGCGCUGCCGCUUGAGGGGGGGCCUGCGUCCCAUUAGCUUGUUGGUGAGGUAACGGCUCACCAAGGCUCCGAUGGGUAGCCGAGCUGAGAGGCUGACCGGCCACACUGGAACUGAGACACGGUCCAGACUCCUACGGGAGGCAGCAGUGGGGAAUUUUGCGCAAUGGGGGAAACCCUGACGCAGCGACGCCGCGUGGGCGAUGAAGGCCUUCGGGUCGUAAAGCCCUGUCGAGUGGGACGAAACGUGCGAGCUCUAACAUAGCUCGUGCCUGACGGUACCACUGGAGGAAGCCCCGGCCAACUCCGUGCCAGCAGCCGCGGUAAUACGGGGGGGGCGAGCGUUAUUCGGAAUUAUUGGGCGUAAAGGGCGUGUAGGCGGCUUCGUGUGUCUUUCUGUGAAAGCCCUCGGCUCAACCGAGGAAUUGCAGGAGAAACUGCGGAGCUCGAGUCCGGGAGAGGAGAGCGGAAUUCCCAGUGUAGCGGUGAAAUGCGUAGAUAUUGGGAGGAACACCAGUGGCGAAGGCGGCUCUCUGGACCGGUACUGACGCUGAGACGCGAAAGCUAGGGGAGCAAACGGGAUUAGAUACCCCGGGUAGUCCUAGCCGUAAACGAUGAGCACUUGGUGUGGCGGGUAUCGACCCCUGCCGUGCCGAAGCUAACGCAUUAAGUGCUCCGCCUGGGGAGUACGGCCGCAAGGCUGAAACUCAAAGGAAUUGACGGGGGCCCGCACAAGCGGUGGAGCAUGUGGUUCAAUUCGACGCAACGCGAAGAACCUUAACCUGGGCUUGACAUGCACCGGACGAUUACUCGAAAGAGCACUUUCCUUCGGGACCCUAGUAGAGGUGCUGCAUGGCUGUCGUCAGCUCGUGUCGUGAGAUGUUGGGUUAAGUCCCGCAACGAGCGCAACCCUUGCCCUUAGUUGCCAUCGGUUCGGCCGGGGACUCUAGGGGGACUGCCGGUGAUAAGCCGGAGGAAGGUGGGGACGACGUCAAGUCCUCAUGGCCCUUAUGCCCAGGGCUACACACGUGCUACAAUGGCCGGUACAAAGGGUCGCCAACCCGCGAGGGGGAGCCAAUCCCAAAAAGCCGGUCUCAGUUCGGAUUGGAGUCUGCAACUCGACUCCAUGAAGUUGGAAUCGCUAGUAAUCGCGCAUCAGCACGGCGUGGUGAAUACGUUCCCGGGCCUUGUACACACCGCCCGUCACACCACGAAAGCUGAUUGUACCGGAAGUCGCUGAGCUAACCCCCGCUUCGGCGGAGGAGGCAGGCGCCCAUGGUAUGAUUGGUGAUUGGGGUGAAGUCGUAAACAAGGUAGCCC